RNAcentral lists this ribosomal RNA (388 nucleotides) under uncultured eukaryote. RNAcentral's name for it is "SSU rRNA". It matches the Rfam family "Eukaryotic small subunit ribosomal RNA", at positions 567 to 960 of the family's 1831-position model. The record is from RNAcentral.
CCAGCAGCCGCGGUAAUUCCAGCUCCAGAAGCGUAUACAAAAGUUGCUGCAGUUAAAAAGCUCGUAGCCGGAGUUCGGCGUAGCCUCAGGGUUCUCCAGUGUUACUGGGGACGCCCUCAGGGCUGCGCUUAUGCACGUGGAACCACGGGACCAUUCAUUUGGCUUCGCGGGAAAGCGUGCCGUUUACCAUGAGUAAAUGGGAGUGCUUAAAGCAGGCGUCAGCCUGAACUUUUCAGCAUGGGAUAAUAGAAUAAGACUGCGUCUUAUUUCGUUGGUUUGCGAGACAGCAGUAAUGAUUAAUAGGGGCGUUCGGGGGCAUCGGUAUUUCUUGGGGAGUGGUGAAAUGCGUAGAUCCAAGAAGGACCACCGGAAGCGAAAGCGUUUGUCA